UGGCAUUAUGGCGUGCAUCGCUGUAACGUCGGCCAUCAUUACUAUGGGCUGUUGUAUAUUGAUUGAUUGUGAUUGAUUGGCUUCGUGUGAUGCACCAGUUUAAAAAUAGGUAUGCUUACUCUGAUUAUCAGCAUGCAUGCAUCUGUGCGCACUCCUGCAAGAUCCCAGCACGAAAUAUCAUGGAUUGGAGGAGGAUUCUAAUGCUGGGGGUUUAGCCAAUUCAUCAGGCGUACUCCGUACAGGAAAAAGAUAAAUAUUAGAAUUCACGAAAGAAGCAACAACAAGCUGGCUUUAUAUAAGUUGCUUUAUUUCGCUACUCUACUGUGUAUAUAACCAUCGUGGACCUCGGAGCACUAACCAGGCUCCCCGAGUUACGGAGUACUAUUUCCAGGGAUAGUAAGCCCCCGAGUAUCGCCGCCGCAUGAUGGAAACUUUCGCUAUGGCUCCAGCCUUAAAAUUAUUUUAGGCAAAUUCACCGUUUUACCAGGACAAGAGCGCACUCCGUAGUAGUUGGUGACGAUUCGGAUUCGGUCUCUUCAUGGUUCGGCUGGUGAGAAUCACCUCUGCAAAUUCAUGCCAUGUUCAUUUGCUGCGUAGGCAGCCCCAAAAUGACGGUCUUCCAUCAGAUCGACUAACAUGGCACGAGUAUUCUUCGAAAUAACCGGCAAUCGUGAGUAUAUAUACAUUUACAUCUAUAUGGAUAAAAAUACAAUAACAAUGCCAUAAAGGCGGCAGGCUACAUACAACACAUGCGGCAUGGGAUGGUUGGUCGCGGCGAACAAGGUCGAGUUGGUAUCAAGCACCACGCAUCAGGAUCAAAGGAUGUCCGUUCUUUGCUACCGAAAGCAUGUCAUAGAGGAACCGGUGCGGACCAGAUGUGCUCCCCGAUCGCCUGCCCCACACCUCUCCUCUGAUGAGAGAGAGACAUGAUUUGUGCCAGUGCCAUCUCGAAUUUGGCUGUCAAGAUAAGAGGAUGUCGCGCACUUGGAACGUGAGUGUGGUCUGAUUUAUAUGAAAUGCCGUGAUCCUCUACACCUAAAAGUUAAGGUGGUACCACCCGGCCUCCCUCUUCAGAUGUCCUGUUGAACAAUGAUAUCACAUAUAUAUAUCAUAGGAAGUUCGGCAAGACGCAUGCAUCGAUAUUCCAGGUCAAAACCACAGCAAUCUGCUUAUUUGUUCUUCUUGUUUCAGAUAAUAAAAAGGGCACGUCCGAAUUCAGAAUUCUAGGAACCGGAGAACGUCCAAGGUGCUGGGGAACAUGCAGACGGACGGGGAGGCGACGAUUUACGCAGUACUUUUGGCAGCCAAACCGACUGCAUGUGUUCUGUCCAUAGCAGUGUUCAAGCCAAGGUUGCCAGUCCCAGUCUGUAAUCCCAACACAGCAAAGUUGUACAAUAUUGGAACGCCAGGAAGAUAGUUGGCUUUCCACUCAGCAGGCCUGUUUGCAGGGGUUCACCAAUCCUGCAAUGUCCAAAGU
Molecule: small RNA, 1477 nt
Filed under: Histoplasma ohiense
Lineage: Eukaryota; Fungi; Ascomycota; Eurotiomycetes; Onygenales; Ajellomycetaceae
Description: hypothetical lncRNA
Source: RNAcentral